CUUGUUUUAUUUUGAUGUUGU
Molecule: non-coding RNA, 21 nt
Filed under: Arabidopsis thaliana (thale cress)
Lineage: Eukaryota; Viridiplantae; Streptophyta; Magnoliopsida; Brassicales; Brassicaceae
Source: RNAcentral